This 497-nucleotide ribosomal RNA is filed under the name uncultured bacterium. RNAcentral's name for it is "partial 16S ribosomal RNA". It matches the Rfam family "Bacterial small subunit ribosomal RNA", at positions 28 to 507 of the family's 1533-position model. The record is from RNAcentral.
GAUGAACGCUGGCGGCGUGCCUAAUACAUGCAAGUCGAGCGAACGGACGAGAAGCUUGCUUCUCUGAUGUUAGCGGCGGACGGGUGAGUAACACGUGGAUAACCUACCUAUAAGACUGGGAUAACUUCGGGAAACCGUAGCUAAUACCGGAUAAUAUUUUGAACCGCAUGGUUCAAAAGUGAAAGACGGUCUUGCUGUCACUUAUAGAUGGAUCCGCGCUGCAUUAGCUAGUUGGUAAGGUAACGGCUUACCAAGGCAACGAUGCAUAGCCGACCUGAGAGGGUUAUCGGCCAAACCGGAACUGAGACACGGUCCAGACUCCUACGGGAGGCAGCAGUAGGGAAUCUUCCGCAAUGGGCGAAAGCCUGACGGAGCAACGCCGCGUGAGUGAUGAAGGUCUUCGGAUCGUAAAACUCUGUUAUUAGGGAAGAACAUAUGUGUAAGUAACUGUGCACAUCUUGACGGUACCUAAUCAGAAAGCCACGGCUAACUACGUG